This 253-nucleotide ribosomal RNA is filed under the name uncultured bacterium. RNAcentral's name for it is "partial 16S ribosomal RNA". It matches the Rfam family "Bacterial small subunit ribosomal RNA", at positions 524 to 776 of the family's 1533-position model. The record is from RNAcentral.
UACGAAGGGGGCUAGCGUUGCUCGGAAUCACUGGGCGUAAAGCGCACGUAGGCGGAUUGUUAAGUCAGAGGUGAAAUCCCAAGGCUCAACCUUGGAACUGCCUUUGAUACUGGGGAUCUUGAGUCCGGGAGAGGUGAGUGGAACUGCGAGUGUAGAGGUGAAAUUCGUAGAUAUUCGCAAGAACACCAGUGGCGAAGGCGGCUCACUGGCCCGGUACUGACGCUGAGGUGCGAAAGCGUGGGGAGCAAACAGG